UGGGGAAUCUUGGACAAUGGGCGCAAGCCUGAUCCAGCCAUGCCGCGUGAGUGAAGAAGGCCUUCGGGUUGUAAAGCUCUUUUACCAGGGACGAUAAUGACGGUACCUGGAGAAUAAGCCCCGGCAAACUUCGUGCCAGCAGCCGCGGUAAUACGAAGGGGGCUAGCGUUGUUCGGAAUUACUGGGCGUAAAGCGCACGUAGGCGGAUUGUUAAGUCAGAGGUGAAAUCCCGGAGCUCAACUUCGGAACUGCCUUUGAUACUGGCAAUCUAGAGUCCGGAAGAGGUUAGUGGAAUUCCCAGUGUAGAGGUGAAAUUCGUAGAUAUUGGGAAGAACACCGGUGGCGAAGGCGGCUAUCUGGACGACAACUGACGCUGAGGCGCGAAAGCGUGGGGAUCAAACAGGAUUAGAUACCCCCGUAGUCCCUGAGCGGGCUGGCAAGGCGCAU
This 447-nucleotide ribosomal RNA is filed under the name uncultured bacterium. Its description in RNAcentral is "bacterial SSU rRNA". It matches the Rfam family "Bacterial small subunit ribosomal RNA", at positions 355 to 825 of the family's 1533-position model. The record is from RNAcentral.